RNAcentral lists this ribosomal RNA (459 nucleotides) under uncultured bacterium. RNAcentral describes it as "partial 16S ribosomal RNA". It matches the Rfam family "Bacterial small subunit ribosomal RNA", at positions 338 to 795 of the family's 1533-position model. The record is from RNAcentral.
CCUACGGGAGGCAGCAGUGAGGAAUAUUGGUCAAUGGCCGGAAGGCUGAACCAGCCAUGCCGCGUGAAGGUCAGUGCCCUACGGGCGUUAAACUUCUUUUAUAAAGGAAUAAAAUGAGGCACGUGUGCCUUGUUGCAUGUACUUUAUGAAUAAGGAUCGGCUAACUCCGUGGCAGCAGCCGCGGUAAAACGGAGGAUCCGGGCGUUAUCCGGAUUGAUUGGGGGUAAAGGGAGCGUAGAUGGGUUGUUAAGUCAGUUGUGAAAGUUUGCGGCUCAACCGGAAAAUUGCAAUUGAUACUGGCAGUCUUGAGUACAGUUGAGGUAGGCGGAAUUCGUGGUGUAGCGGUGAAAUGCGUAGAUAUCACGAAGAACCCCGAUUGCGAAGGCAGCUUACUAAACUGUGACUGACAUUGAUGCUCGAAAGUGUGGGUAUCAAACAGGAUUAGAUACCCUUGUAGUC